Long non-coding RNA from Cryptotermes secundus, 984 nucleotides. RefSeq lists it as uncharacterized. The record is from RefSeq and is a predicted model, not a curated record. NCBI's taxonomy places the organism in Eukaryota, Metazoa, Arthropoda, Insecta, Blattodea, Kalotermitidae. The transcript has 3 exons.
GGCUGGUACAAUAGGCCAGAUGUGGCUGCAGUACAAGGGACUUAGUCCGAACCCACUAGCAUUAAAAAAAACACAACUACGCUUGCAUCAAGAGAAGACCACAACAGUGACUCCGCCAGUGAUCGCCGGUGCUCAACGGCCAACCAGCCGUUGUACGAGCUUUGCCCGCCAGCCGGCGACGCCGCCACUAGCACCGGCUAGCACAUUACUACAAAACUUCGCCCAGCAUCCCGCCGGCUCGCUAUCAUAGGGCUGCUGCAAGGAAGAAGGCUGGUACUAGCCCUGACUAGUCCUCAGCGACGAGAGCUUCACCAGGCUUCCGACCCUUCCAACAGAGGGUCAUUUUCAGGGACAACAAUAUCACCGCCGUCACUAGGUCAGGCCACCCAGCUACAAAGGGAGUUUCAGUACCACCUUGGAUGUGAUCUGCUGCAGUACUGCUGCCACAUAUGUGACAGCCUGUUCCAACGUGGCUCCCAGCUGACGAAACACCUUUAUAUUCAGCACAGCGUCUGCAGGCCCCCAGGCCACUGCAGAUUUAGGUACAAGCGAGAUGAGAAUGGCUUCUUCCGGCUUCUAACAGUGGACACUACACCCAAGAAAUUGACCGAGAAAGCCAGCCAACCAUUGUGCGUCAAAGAAGAUGAUCUCCUGAAACAGGAGGCUGAAGGGGGCAGGAUUAUGGUGUCUCUAAUAGAAUAUGAUUACAGUGGGACUGUUGUCUCCAGGGAAGAUAUAGAGACGACAGAACUACAUAGCUUGCCCCAAGGAAAUUUUAAAAUCAUAGAUGCUUUAUGUUUUACAGUGUGAACUAUUUGUUCCAAUUAUGUUGUAAAUUGUGCAAUUGAAUCUCAUAGUUGUUCUUUUUAUGCAACUCUAUUAAUAUAUCACAGUUCUUAUCUUUUCUGUAUUUGAUUCAGUUCCUUUUUGGCCAGAUCAUUUAUUGUCUUAUAAUCUGUGCUUAAUACAUUUCCUUUCCAUAAA